Molecule: ribosomal RNA, 468 nt
Filed under: uncultured bacterium
Lineage: Bacteria
Description: partial 16S ribosomal RNA
Rfam family: Bacterial small subunit ribosomal RNA
Source: RNAcentral
GACGAACGCUGGCGGCGUGCUUAACACAUGCAAGUCGAACGGAAAGGCCCUGCUUUUGUGGGGUGCUCGAGUGGCGAACGGGUGAGUAACACGUGAGUAACCUGCCCUUGACUUUGGGAUAACUUCAGGAAACUGGGGCUAAUACCGGAUAGGAGCUCCUGCUGCAUGGUGGGGGUUGGAAAGAUUCGGCGGUUGGGGAUGGACUCGCGGCUUAUCAGCUUGUUGGUGGGGUAGUGGCUUACCAAGGCUUUGACGGGUAGCCGGCCUGAGAGGGUGACCGGCCACAUUGGGACUGAGAUACGGCCCAGACGCCUACGGGAGGCAGCAGUGGGGAAUAUUGCACAAUGGGCGGAAGCCUGAUGCAGCAACGCCGCGUGCGGGAUGACGGCCUUCGGGUCGUAAACCUCUUUCGCCUGUGACGAAGCGUGAGUGACGGUAAUGGGUAAAGAAGCACCGGCUAACUACGUG